Molecule: long non-coding RNA, 216 nt
Filed under: Homo sapiens (human)
Lineage: Eukaryota; Metazoa; Chordata; Mammalia; Primates; Hominidae
Description: HSALNT0400797
Source: RNAcentral
GCUGCCUCCUGCUGGUGACGUGACUGAGGGGAAGAAUGUGGUGAGAGAUGGAGCAGAGGCUGGAUUCCCCUGGGGCCGCUACCACCAGCUCAGCCCCAGCCUCCUCAGCUUUCUGCAGCUGAGCCUCCAGACCUACAUUUGGGAGCUGAUCCGUCUUGCUCUCAGUUAGGGCCCAGCCCUUCUGUGGGGACCAGGAAAAUCUUUGCUCACCUGGAG